Molecule: unclassified non-coding RNA, 200 nt
Filed under: soil metagenome
Description: partial contains internal transcribed spacer 2 and large subunit ribosomal RNA
Source: RNAcentral
CAAUCCCCAAUGGUUUUUCAACCGUUUGUGAUUGGACUUGGGUGUCUGCCUACCAAGGCUCGCCUCAAAUGACUUUGUGGGAACCUGUGACCUACGCCUGACGUAAUAAGUUUCGUCUUGGCAAGUCUCUGGGCCUGCUCCUAACCCUCAUACUUUCUGACAUUGACCUCAAAUCAGGUAGGGCUACCCGCUGAACUUAA